AAACUUCCAACAAUGGAUCUCUUGGUUCCGGCAUCGAUGAAGAACGCAGNGAAAUGCGAUAACUAAUGUGAAUUGCAGAAUUCAGUGAAUCAUCGAGUCUUUGAACGCACAUUGGGGCCCCUGGUAUUCCGGGGGGCAUGCCUGUCCGAGCGUCAUU
RNAcentral lists this ribosomal RNA (157 nucleotides) under Aspergillus flavipes. RNAcentral's name for it is "5.8S ribosomal RNA". It matches the Rfam family "5.8S ribosomal RNA". Rfam says of the family: 5.8S ribosomal RNA (5.8S rRNA) is a component of the large subunit of the eukaryotic ribosome. It is transcribed by RNA polymerase I as part of the 45S precursor that also contains 18S and 28S rRNA. The record is from RNAcentral. Lineage: Eukaryota; Fungi; Ascomycota; Eurotiomycetes; Eurotiales; Aspergillaceae.